RNAcentral lists this long non-coding RNA (625 nucleotides) under Triticum aestivum (bread wheat). RNAcentral describes it as "long non-coding RNA (TAES_LNC001945)". The record is from RNAcentral. Lineage: Eukaryota; Viridiplantae; Streptophyta; Magnoliopsida; Poales; Poaceae.
AAAAGGAAUACUUGGCAGCUGGAAGACACAACCCAUAUUCAACAGACCACUACUAACGUCUUUUGAACAAGGAUGAGGGGUAGCCACAUGAUCAUUGUUGGUCUUGUUCUUCUGGUGUUAGCCUCAGGUACCAGAUGUAGUGAUGUGUUCUAUUUCAUAUACAGUUUGAUAUGAAUAACCUACUCAAUGGUCUUUGAUGUUUUGAUCAUUUUUUGCGGGGAACAUUGUUAUGUGAAGGUACGGCGACAGCAGCGACAACGGGCGGAUCUCUAACUGGAAUAAAUUGCGUCGUCAAAACCCCUAUGCCUUGUGAUGAAAUCAAGAGAUGCGUCGAUACCUGCAACUCCUUGUCUCCGGUGCAUGGCAAACCUGAAAUUAGUUGCGUUGACAAACAGUGUAAAUGCACAUUUUGUUGAAGUUUGACAUGAAUCUACAAGCAAGGCAUAUAUUUCCUUGUUAUCAGAGUAGUAGUAAUAGUAAUCAUUGAGUGUGUAUUGGCAAUAUUUGAUACCAGCGGUGUUCUCAAAACAAUAAAUGGCAUGAAGAAAAUACAAUUGUGUAUGAAACAUCAUGUAUAACCAAAUCGGUAGCAGCGGGUUGUUGCUAUCUUAUCCAUACGUGCGCA